UCCUACGGGGCGCAGCAGUGGGGAAUAUUGCACAAUGGGGGAAACCCUGAUGCAGCAACGCCGCGUGAGUGAAGAAGUAUUUCGGUAUGUAAAGCUCUAUCAGCAGGGAAGAAGAAAGACGGUACCUGACUAAGAAGCCCCGGCUAACUACGUGCCAGCAGCCGCGGUAAUACGUAGGGGGCAAGCGUUAUCCGGAUUUACUGGGUGUAAAGGGAGCGUAGGCGGUGCAGCAAGUCAGAAGUGAAAGCCCGGGGUUCAACUCCGGGACUGCUUUUGAAACUGUUGAACUAGAUUGCAGGAGAGGU
This 305-nucleotide ribosomal RNA is filed under the name uncultured bacterium. RNAcentral describes it as "bacterial SSU rRNA". It matches the Rfam family "Bacterial small subunit ribosomal RNA", at positions 337 to 658 of the family's 1533-position model. The record is from RNAcentral.